RNAcentral lists this long non-coding RNA (1019 nucleotides) under Homo sapiens (human). RNAcentral describes it as "HSALNT0332884". Lineage: Eukaryota; Metazoa; Chordata; Mammalia; Primates; Hominidae. The record is from RNAcentral.
UGUGCAAAUCAUACAAUUUAUCCAUCAGCUUCCAUCAUUAAUUUAACAUAUGGGUAGCAGAGAAGCCACUACUCACUCAGUUCUCAACUGACUGCCUUAAUGAUGCUUUCUCCCCCGUCCUUGGUUCUUCCACUUAGUAUUUCUAGUGUCAUCUUCCUCCUAUUUGAUUCUUCUUCACUGCUUCUUCCUCCUUGCUCAGGAAGACAUGAAUAAAGAAGCAGUGAGUUGUUUGUUUCUUUAUUUUCCUGCCUGUGUACUAGAAGGAGCCAGACCUGGUACAUUCAUUUGAGAUAAGCAGGGUUGGGUUGUAGUUAAAUGUUUGCAGAGAAUGUUCCAAGGAAAACAGAGUAUGGGGGUUUAGAUGGGGAAAGUGCCCUCUGAGUCAGUAUCAGAUGAGGCCUCUGUUGUGGUGCUGGGAAGGUGGUGCUUGGGCUAUGGAGAAACAAUCCCACAACCUGAAUAAUAGCCUGUGGCCAACAGAAUUCUGUGUCUUUUCUUCCAAGUAAAGCCGGCUACUGGGCAAAUUCCAACUCGGGUGAUCCCAUUGUUUUCAACAUUAAUCAUUCUCAGAAAUAUUGAGUUUUCUAAAGUGUUUUGCCAAGGCGGCCCUUGGAAACCUGUCUAUGCUUCUGGAUGAACCAACCUAAGUCACAUCACUCCAGAUAUCAUGGAGGAUAUCCAUAUGGUUAUAUGGAAUCAUAGAAACUUGUGGACGGAGGAGACUUAGGGAUUAUCUAGUCCAACCUUCUUGAUUUCAGGUGCUGAUAAUUCCCAGGACUACCACCAGCCUCGCCUUUGUGCUGACAAGACUUCCUGAUACGUCCUCAAGGAUGAUCAAAUGAACUUCAUGACUUGUUUCUGUUUCUGCCCUUGGACGACUUCUGCGGAAAUCAUCUCUAGAUCUUACCUAGUCAAUCCAGGAAAAUCUCUCCUUACACCCUCUGUCUGUUUCAAUUCGGAGGGAGAAAUUGCCUAAUUGGGCCUUGUUCUGUUGCCUCCACCUCCCGGGUUCAAGCAAU